RNAcentral lists this transfer RNA (75 nucleotides) under Podarcis lilfordi (Lilford's wall lizard). RNAcentral describes it as "tRNA.Ala". It matches the Rfam family "tRNA". From Rfam's summary of the family: Transfer RNA (tRNA) molecules are approximately 80 nucleotides in length. Their secondary structure includes four short double-helical elements and three loops (D, anti-codon, and T loops). The record is from RNAcentral. Lineage: Eukaryota; Metazoa; Chordata; Lepidosauria; Squamata; Lacertidae.
GGGGCUGCAGCUCAGUGGUAGAGCAUCUGCCUUGCAUGUAGAAGGUCCCAGGUUCAAUCCCUAAUGGCAUCCCCA